RNAcentral lists this ribosomal RNA (498 nucleotides) under uncultured bacterium. Its description in RNAcentral is "partial 16S ribosomal RNA". It matches the Rfam family "Bacterial small subunit ribosomal RNA", at positions 29 to 523 of the family's 1533-position model. The record is from RNAcentral.
AUUGAACGCUGGCGGCAUGCCUUACACAUGCAAGUCGAACGGUAACGCGGGGCAACCUGGCGACGAGUGGCGAACGGGUGAGUAACGCAUCGGAACGUGCCCAGUAGCGGGGGAUAGCCCGGCGAAAGCCGGAUUAAUACCGCAUACGACCUACGGGUGAACGAGGGGGAUCGCAAGACCUCUCGCUAUUGGAGCGGCCGAUGUCAGAUUAGGUAGUUGGUGGGGUAAAAGCCUACCAAGCCUACGAUCUGUAGCUGGUCUGAGAGGACGACCAGCCACACUGGGACUGAGACACGGCCCAGACUCCUACGGGAGGCAGCAGUGGGGAAUUUUGGACAAUGGGCGCAAGCCUGAUCCAGCCAUGCCGCGUGCGGGAAGAAGGCCUUCGGGUUGUAAACCGCUUUUGUCAGGGAAGAAACGCUCUGGACUAAUACUCUGGGGUAAUGACGGUACCUGAAGAAUAAGCACCGGCUAACUACGUGCCAGCCGCCGCGGUAA